GACGAACGCUGGCGGCGUGCUUAACACAUGCAAGUCGAACGGAAAGGCCUCUUUCGGGGGGUACUCGAGUGGCGAACGAGUGAGUAACACGUGAGUAACCUGCCCUUGACUUUGGGAUAACUUCAGGAAACUGGGGCUAAUACCGGAUAGGAGCUCCUGCUGCAUGGUGGGGGUUGGAAAGUUUCGGCGGUUGGGGAUGGACUCGCGGCUUAUCAGCUUGUUGGUGGGGUAGUGGCUUACCAAGGCUUUGACGGGUAGCCGGCCUGAGAGGGUGACCGGCCACAUUGGGACUGAGAUACGGCCCAGACUCCUACGGGAGGCAGCAGUGGGGAAUAUUGCACAAUGGGUGGAAGCCUGAUGCAGCAACGCCGUGUGCGGGAUGACGGCCUUCGGGUUGUAAACCGCUUUCGCUCAUGACGAAGCUUUGUGUGACGGUAGUGGGUAAAGAAGCACCGGCUAACUACGUG
This 467-nucleotide ribosomal RNA is filed under the name uncultured bacterium. RNAcentral's name for it is "partial 16S ribosomal RNA". It matches the Rfam family "Bacterial small subunit ribosomal RNA", at positions 28 to 507 of the family's 1533-position model. The record is from RNAcentral.